This 610-nucleotide ribosomal RNA is filed under the name uncultured bacterium. RNAcentral's name for it is "bacterial SSU rRNA". It matches the Rfam family "Bacterial small subunit ribosomal RNA", at positions 37 to 692 of the family's 1533-position model. The record is from RNAcentral.
UGGCGGCACGCCUAACACAUGCAAGUCGAACGAAGUAGCAAUACUUAGUGGCAGACGGGUGAGUAACAUGUGGGUAUCUGCCCUUUGGCCUGGAAUAACACGAGGAAACUUGUGCUAAUACCGGAUAAGUCUUUACGGAGAAAGCUUUAUGCACCAUUGGAUGAGCCCGCACUUGAUUAGUUUGUUGGUGGGGUAAUGGCCUACCAAGACUGUGAUCAAUAGCUGAUUUGAGAGGAUGAUCAGCCACAUUGGGACUGAGACACGGCCCAAACUCCUACGGGAGGCAGCAGUGGGGAAUCUUGCACAAUGGAGGAAACUCUGAUGCAGCGAUGCCGCGUGAGUGAAGAAGGCCCUUGGGUUGUAAAGCUCUUUCGUCGGGGAAGAAAAUGACUGUACCCGAAUAAGAAGGUCCGGCUAACUUCGUGCCAGCAGCCGCGGUAAUACGAAGGGACCUAGCGUAGUUCGGAAUUACUGGGCUUAAAGAGUUCGUAGGUGGUUGAAAAAGUUGGUGGUGAAAUCCCAGAGCUUAACUCUGGAACUGCCAUCAAAACUUUUCAGCUAGAGUUUGAUAGAGGAAAGCAAAAUUUCUAGUGUAGAGGUGAAAUUCGUA